RNAcentral lists this ribosomal RNA (500 nucleotides) under uncultured bacterium. Its description in RNAcentral is "partial 16S ribosomal RNA". It matches the Rfam family "Bacterial small subunit ribosomal RNA", at positions 30 to 523 of the family's 1533-position model. The record is from RNAcentral.
AUUGAACGCUGGCGGAAUGCUUUACACAUGCAAGUCGAACGGCAGCACGGGGGCAACCCUGGUGGCGAGUGGCGAACGGGUGAGUAAUACAUCGGAACGUGCCCAGUCGUGGGGGAUAACGUAGCGAAAGUUACGCUAAUACCGCAUACGAUCUACGGAUGAAAGCGGGGGACCGUAAGGCCUCGCGCGAUUGGAGCGGCCGAUGUCAGAUUAGGUAGUUGGUGAGGUAAAGGCUCACCAAGCCGACGAUCUGUAGCUGGUCUGAGAGGACGACCAGCCACACUGGGACUGAGACACGGCCCAAACUCCGACGGGAGGCAGCAGUGGGGAAUUUUGGGCAAUGGGCGCAAGCCUGAUCCAGCCAUUCCGCGUGCAGGACGAAGGCCUUCGGGUUGUAAACUGCUUUUGUACGGAACGAAAAGGCUCUGGUUAAUACCUGGGGCUCAUGACGGUACCGUAAGAAUAAGCACCGGCUAACUACGUGCCAGCAGCCACAGUAA